RNAcentral lists this ribosomal RNA (255 nucleotides) under uncultured bacterium. RNAcentral's name for it is "partial 16S ribosomal RNA". It matches the Rfam family "Bacterial small subunit ribosomal RNA", at positions 524 to 776 of the family's 1533-position model. The record is from RNAcentral.
GACGGAGGGUGCUAGCGUUGUUCGGAAUCACUGGGCGUAAAGGGCGCGUAGGCGGCCUGGCAAGUCGGCUUUGUGAAAGCCCGGGGCUCAACCCCGGAGGUGCGGCCGAGACUGCGAGGCUGGAGGCCGGAAGAGGAGGGUGGAAUACCCAGUGUAGAGGUGAAAUUCGUAGAUAUUGGGUGGAACACCGGUGGCGAAAGCGGCUCUCUGGUCCGGACCUGACGCUGAGGCGCGAAAGCGUGGGGAGCAAACAGG